CUAAUUCUAUUAAAAUAUACAAUAAAUAGUUAUUUUACUCUAAAAGAUUCAAUAAACUUUCAACAAAAGCCAAAAUGAGUUUCUUAAUAUUUAUUAUGAUAAACUGCAAACUAAUUUCAUAAAAAACUAAAAUUGAACUCCUUACAGGUAGAGAUUGCCCUCAAAGCUGUUCGCAAAGUAAGCAUUGAUGUAUGGUGUUUAAUAUAGGCUU
Molecule: long non-coding RNA, 211 nt
Filed under: Cicer arietinum (chickpea)
Lineage: Eukaryota; Viridiplantae; Streptophyta; Magnoliopsida; Fabales; Fabaceae
Description: long non-coding RNA (CARI_LNC003664)
Source: RNAcentral